This 305-nucleotide ribosomal RNA is filed under the name uncultured bacterium. RNAcentral describes it as "bacterial SSU rRNA". It matches the Rfam family "Bacterial small subunit ribosomal RNA", at positions 333 to 636 of the family's 1533-position model. The record is from RNAcentral.
CGCUUCCUACGGGGGGCAGCAGUGAGGAAUAUUGGUCAAUGGGCGAGAGCCUGAACCAGCCAAGUCGCGUGAGGGAAGACGGUCCUAUGGAUUGUAAACCUCCUUUGCCGGGGAGCAAAAAGCGGUACGUGUACCGCAUCGAGAGUACCCGGAGAAAAAGCAUCGGCUAACUCCGUGCCAGCAGCCGCGGUAAUACGGAGGAUGCGAGCGUUAUCCGGAUUUAUUGGGUUUAAAGGGUGCGUAGGCGGGACCUUAAGUCAGCGGUAAAAUUGCGGUGCUCAACGCCGUAGAGCCGUUGAAACUGG